RNAcentral lists this ribosomal RNA (236 nucleotides) under uncultured bacterium. RNAcentral describes it as "partial 16S ribosomal RNA". It matches the Rfam family "Bacterial small subunit ribosomal RNA", at positions 99 to 334 of the family's 1533-position model. The record is from RNAcentral.
CGAACGGGUGAGUAACGCGUGAGGAACCUGCCUCAAAGAGGGGACAACAGUUGGAAACGACUGCUAAUACCGCAUAAGCCCACGGGUCGGCAUCGAUCUGAGGGAAAAGGAGUGAUCCGCUUUGAGAUGGCCUCGCGUCCGAUUAGCUAGUUGGUGAGGUAACGGCCCACCAAGGCGACGAUCGGUAGCCGGACUGAGAGGUUGAACGGCCACAUUGGGACUGAGACACGGCCCAG